GUCUACAGCCAUGCUACCCUGAACGUGCCCUAUCUCCUCUGAUCUCAGAAGCUAAGCAGAGUUGGGCCUGGUUAGUACUUGAGUGGGAGACCACUUAGGAAUACCAGGUGCUGUAGGCG
Molecule: ribosomal RNA, 119 nt
Filed under: Pteropus alecto (black flying fox)
Lineage: Eukaryota; Metazoa; Chordata; Mammalia; Chiroptera; Pteropodidae
Source: RNAcentral